Molecule: long non-coding RNA, 486 nt
Organism: Myzus persicae (green peach aphid)
Lineage: Eukaryota; Metazoa; Arthropoda; Insecta; Hemiptera; Aphididae
Exons: 3
Source: RefSeq, a predicted model, not a curated record
AGACCAGAUAGAUGUCGCUCCUCAAAUAACAUGAAAAUACGCGAGUGGUAUCCCAAAGUCGGCAGUCUGUCGCCACCGUCCUUACUAAAAAGCCGGAAAACGUUCAUUGUACUCGGUACCGCUUGUAAUAAUAACGGUAUGUGUAAAUAUUUUUUUUAUAAAAUGUAAACUUUAUGCCAUUUAAGUUCUUCUUGUUGAGUUGUUUAGUUCAAGAGAAUAAGAUUGGAAUUGACAACAAAAUUGGAUCACCCAGUAUUUCGGCAUAGGUUCUAGUAAAGUAAAAUGUUUUGGCCGUAAACCUUUAUUGGAUUGAAGACUUCAAACACUUUUAAGGUAAGUCAUAUGUAUAUCUAUGUUAAAUAGUAUUAGUUAAAUAUCAGGGAACAAUUAUGAAUACAACUAAGUAAAACUAAGAAACUUAAUUUGAUAGUUGAAACGUAUAAUGUUUUAAUACUAUUAUAGAAGUAAAUUCCAAAUAUAAAUUGU